CGGUGUUCAACUGGCGUGUCCGCGGGACGUCCUGCCGGUGGGCUUAGCCCGCAAGGGCGGCCCAACUUCAAAUCCCAUCGCGGUGCUCUUCACUGAGUGUCGAGGUGGGCCGGCACGUUUACUUUGAACAAAUUAGAGUGCUUAAAGCAGGCUAAAACUUCGCCUGAAUACUGUGUGCAUGGAAUAAUGGAAUAGGACCUCGGUUCUAUUUUGUUGGUUUUCGGAACCCCGAGGUAAUGAUUAAUAGGAACGGAUGGGGGCAUUCGUAUUGCGACGUUAGAGGUGAAAUUCUUGGAUCGUCGCAAGACGGACAGAGGCGAAAGCAUUUGCCAAAAACGCUUUCAUUGAUCAAGAACGAAAGUUAGAGGUUCGAAGGCGAUCAGAUACCGCCCUAGUUCUAACCAUAAACGAUGCCAGCUAGCGAUCCGUCGACGUUCCUCCGAUGACUCGACGGGCAGCUUCCGGGAAACCAAAGCUUUUGGGUUCCGGGGGAAGUAUGGUUGCAAAGCUGAAACUUAAAGGAAUUGACGGAAGGGCACCACCAGGAGUGGAGCCUGCGGCUUAAUUUGACUCAACACGGGAAACCUCACCAGGCCCGGACACCGGAAGGAUUGACAGAUUGAGAGCUCUUUCUUGAUUCGGUGGGUGGUGGUGCAUGGCCGUUCUUAGUUGGUGGAGCGAUUUGUCUGGUUAAUUCCGAUAACGAACGAGACUCUAGCCUGCUAACUAGGCGUAUUUUCGACAUCUCAAAGGUCCGUCGUCCCGGCCCUCGGGUCGUGGGCGUGCGCGAUUUUUACUGUCGGCGUACUAUCAAUUCUUCUUAGAGGGACAGGUGGCUUCUAGCCGCACGAGAUUGAGCAAUAACAGGUCUGUGAUG
Molecule: ribosomal RNA, 877 nt
Filed under: uncultured eukaryote
Lineage: Eukaryota
Description: SSU rRNA
Rfam family: Eukaryotic small subunit ribosomal RNA
Source: RNAcentral